Molecule: ribosomal RNA, 160 nt
Filed under: uncultured bacterium
Lineage: Bacteria
Description: partial 16S ribosomal RNA
Rfam family: Bacterial small subunit ribosomal RNA
Source: RNAcentral
UCGAGAAUAAUUCACAAUGGGGGCGACCCUGAUGGUGCAACGCCGCGUGGAGGAUGACGGUCUUCGGAUUGUAAACUCCUGUCAUCUGGGAGUAAGACCUGGCGAUGAAUAGUCGACAGGGUUGAUAGUACCAGAAGAGGAAGGGACGGCUAACUUCGUG